Maniola jurtina (meadow brown) is the source of this 232-nucleotide long non-coding RNA. RefSeq lists it as uncharacterized. The transcript has 2 exons. NCBI's taxonomy places the organism in Eukaryota, Metazoa, Arthropoda, Insecta, Lepidoptera, Nymphalidae. The record is from RefSeq and is a predicted model, not a curated record.
GAAUUCAAGUUGUGUGACAGGUGCAAAAAUGAGUUUUAUCCUGGUAGCAGCUUUUCUUUCCACAGGUUUCCGAAGAAUGAAAAUCAGAAAUUGAUGUGGGGAAAUGCAGUGCCUGGAAAAAUCUCAAAAUCGUCUGUUAUUUGCAGUGCGCAUUUUAAAUGUGACGACUUUAUUCCUGGUUAUAUUAGGAAAAUGCAAUGUAUAAAAACAAAUCAUUAAAUAAUUAUUGCAA